AUAAAUGGUUUUUUUAUCCCAUUACCCUUUUUUUAGUGGUUGAAUCGAGGUUUAGACACAUCAGAGAAUAUAUCUUCUAACAAGCUAUAUUUUUCUAAUAUAUGCUCAUAAGCAUUGUCUACAAAAUACUAUGGAACCAAAGAAGUGAAGAAGUUACACAAUGCUUCGUUUUGGGCGAGCCUUACUCUGUAACCAAUUGAUUACAUCUCUUAUUUUCCUUGUUCAUUAAUAUAGUUCAUAG
Molecule: long non-coding RNA, 241 nt
Filed under: Brassica napus (rape)
Lineage: Eukaryota; Viridiplantae; Streptophyta; Magnoliopsida; Brassicales; Brassicaceae
Description: long non-coding RNA (BNAP_LNC021908)
Source: RNAcentral